UCGAACCCUGCAAAGCAGAACGACCUGUGAACAUGUAAAUACAACUUGGUGCUGUUGAGAUGGGCCUUAGGUUCUGAUCAGCAACAUCAUCCGGUCUGUUUCUAUGGUAUCUCUUUUGUAGUACCAUGGAUGUCCCAUCGGACUAUAACAAACCCCGGCACGGCAUGUGCCAAGGAAAACAAAAUAUGAGAAGGUAUCUACUUGAUUUGCCCCGUUUUGCGGUGUGCAUGCAGGUGGUUGCCUCCCUAAAAACACUAACGACUCUCGGCAACGGAUAUCUCGGCUCAUGCAUCGAUGAAGAACGUAGCAAAAUGCGAUACUUGGUGUGAAUUGCAGAAUCCCGUGAACCAUCGAGUUUUUGAACGCAAGUUGCGCCCGAAGCCAUCCGGUCGAGGGCACGCCUGCCUGGGUGUCACGCAUCGCGUCGCUCCCUGCCAAACAUCCUGAGAGGGUAAUCAUGGUGAUGGGGGCGGAAAAUGGCCUCCCGUUCUUGUGUCCGGUUGGCCUAAAGAAGAGUCUUCUUAUGGUGGAUGCACAACUAGUGGUGGUUGAAAAGACCUUCGUCUUGUGUUGUGUGUCGUCAGUUGUGAGGGAAGCUCUCAUUUUAGACCCCACURUAUUGUUAAAAAAUGAUAUAUCGAC
This 642-nucleotide ribosomal RNA is filed under the name Sonchus grandifolius. Its description in RNAcentral is "eukaryotic LSU rRNA". The stretch from base 260 to 415 matches the Rfam family "5.8S ribosomal RNA". Lineage: Eukaryota; Viridiplantae; Streptophyta; Magnoliopsida; Asterales; Asteraceae. The record is from RNAcentral.